ACGAGUGGCGAACGGGUGAGUAAUAUAUCGGAACGUGCCCAGUCGUGGGGGAUAACGCAGCGAAAGCUGUGCUAAUACCGCAUACGAUCUACGGAUGAAAGCGGGGGAUCGCAAGACCUCGCGCGAUUGGAGCGGCCGAUAUCAGAUUAGGUUGUUGGUAGGGUAAAGGCCUACCAAGCCGACGAUCAGUAGCUGGUCUGAGAGGACGACCAGCCACACUGGGACUGAGACACGGCCCAGACUCC
This 245-nucleotide ribosomal RNA is filed under the name uncultured bacterium. Its description in RNAcentral is "partial 16S ribosomal RNA". It matches the Rfam family "Bacterial small subunit ribosomal RNA", at positions 91 to 339 of the family's 1533-position model. The record is from RNAcentral.